This 482-nucleotide ribosomal RNA is filed under the name uncultured bacterium. RNAcentral describes it as "bacterial SSU rRNA". It matches the Rfam family "Bacterial small subunit ribosomal RNA", at positions 36 to 518 of the family's 1533-position model. The record is from RNAcentral.
CUGGCGGUAUGCUUAACACAUGCAAGUCGAACGAGAAACUUGCUUAGAUCCUCGGGAUGAAAAGUGAGGAAGAAAGUGGCGAACGGGUGAGUAACGCGUGGGCAACCUACCUCACGGAAAGGGAUAGCCUCGGGAAACCGGGAGUAAAACCAUAUAAGACCACAGCGUCGCAUGACGCAGGGGUCAAAACUCCGGUGCCGUGAGAUGGGCCCGCGUCCCAUUAGCUAGUUGGCAGGGUAAAGGCCUACCAAGGCGACGAUGGGUAGCCGGUCUGAGAGGGCGAACGGCCACAUUGGAACUGAGACACGGUCCAAACUCCUACGGGAGGCAGCAGUGGGGAAUAUUGCGCAAUGGGGGAAACCCUGACGCAGCAAUACCGCGUGAGCGAAGAAGGUUUUCGGAUCGUAAAGCUCUGUUAUCGGGGAAGAAGAAGUGACGGUACCCGAUGAGGAAGUCCCGGCUAACUACGUGCCAGCAGCGGC